RNAcentral lists this ribosomal RNA (491 nucleotides) under Ophiothrix trilineata. RNAcentral describes it as "partial 16S ribosomal RNA". It matches the Rfam family "Bacterial large subunit ribosomal RNA", at positions 1826 to 2597 of the family's 2925-position model. The record is from RNAcentral. Lineage: Eukaryota; Metazoa; Echinodermata; Ophiuroidea; Amphilepidida; Ophiotrichidae.
CGCCUUUGGAUAAAAAAUCAUAAGGUUUAGCCUGCCCGGUGACUUUUCGUUAAACGGCUGCAGUACUCUGACUGUGCAAAGGUAGCAAAAUCAAUUGUUCAUUAAUUGUGGACUGGAAUCAAUGGCCUGACGACAAAAAGACUGUCUCUUUUCACUAAUUUUGAAUUUAUUUUGAGAGUGAAGAAACUCUUAUAAUAAAGCGGGACGAGAAGACCCCGUUGAGCUUUAGGCAUAAUACUUAGUUAUAAAGUUGUAUGCUUUUAGUUGGGGCAACUAGUAUUUUUAAUAAAACAAUCUAACUUUGACAAUGAAUUAAUUCACUGUAGAGCCUUAAUUAUUAAGAACAAUAGAAUAAGUUACCAUGGGGAUAACAGCGUAAUUUUUUUUGAGAGUUCUUAUUGACAAAAAUGUUUGCGUCCUCGAUGUUGGAUCAUAGUUUCCUGGGGGUGCAGCAGCUUCCAAGGGUUGGUUUGUUCAACCAUUAAAACUAU